UCCGAUAUGGUGUAGUGGCUAACAUUAUCGCCUCUCAUCAAUCCACGAAGCGUAACUGAAAGCGCGAUAGCCCGGGGUUCGAUUCCUCGUGUCGGAA
This is a non-coding RNA of Lentinula novae-zelandiae, 97 nucleotides long. The record is from the annotation of a GenBank genome assembly. Lineage: Eukaryota; Fungi; Basidiomycota; Agaricomycetes; Agaricales; Omphalotaceae.